RNAcentral lists this ribosomal RNA (429 nucleotides) under Chloroflexota bacterium. RNAcentral describes it as "Chloroflexi bacterium partial 16S ribosomal RNA". It matches the Rfam family "Bacterial small subunit ribosomal RNA", at positions 355 to 776 of the family's 1533-position model. The record is from RNAcentral. Lineage: Bacteria; Bacillati; Chloroflexota.
UGGGGAAUAUUGCACAAUGGGCGCAAGCCUGAUGCAGCCAUGCCGCGUGUAUGAAGAAGGCCUUCGGGUUGUAAAGUACUUUCAGCGGGGAGGAAGGGAGUAAAGUUAAUACCUUUGCUCAUUGACGUUACCCGCCGAAGAAGCACCGGCUAACUCCGUGCCAGCAGCCGCGGUAAUACGGAGGGUGCAAGCGUUAAUCGGAAUUACUGGGCGUAAAGCGCACGCAGGCGGUUUGUUAAGUCAGAUGUGAAAUCCCCGGGCUCAACCUGGGAACUGCAUCUGAUACUGGCAAGCUUGAGUCUCGUAGAGGGGGGUAGAAUUCCAGGUGUAGCGGUGAAAUGCGUAGAGAUCUGGAGGAAUACCGGUGGCGAAGGCGGCCCCCUGGACGAAGACUGACGCUCAGGUGCGAAAGCGUGGGGAGCAAACAGG